This 462-nucleotide ribosomal RNA is filed under the name uncultured bacterium. Its description in RNAcentral is "partial 16S ribosomal RNA". It matches the Rfam family "Bacterial small subunit ribosomal RNA", at positions 28 to 523 of the family's 1533-position model. The record is from RNAcentral.
GAUGAACGCUGGCGGCGUGCCUAACACAUGCAAGUCGUGCGGCAGCAUGCCCUUCGGGGUGAUGGCGAGCGGCGGACGGCUGAGUAACGCGUAGGAACGUGCCCCAAAGUGAGGGAUAACUGCCCGAAAGGGUAGCUAAUACCGCAUAUGAUCUUCGGAUUAAAGCUUUAUGCGCUUUGGGAGCGGCCUGCGUCCGAUUAGCUAGUUGGUGAGGUAAUGGCUCACCAAGGCGACGAUCGGUAGCUGGUCUGAGAGGAUGAUCAGCCAGACUGGAAAUGAGACACGGGCCAGACUCCUACGGGAGGCAGCAGUGAGGAAUCUUCCACAGUGGGCGAAAGCCUGAUGGAGCAACGCCGCGUGCAGGAUGAAGGCCCUCGGGUCGUAAACUGCUUUUGUUAGCGAAGAAUAUGACGGUAACUAACGAAUAAGGGUCGGCUAACUACGUGCCAGCCGCCGCAGUAA